GAAAGAUGAAAAGAACUUUGAAAAGAGAGUUAAAUAGUACGUGAAAUUGUUGAAAGGGAAACGAUUGAAGCCAGUCGUACCUGCGGGUAAUCAGCCUUUUGGGCAUGAUUCUGUGGAGCGUGAGGAGUUAAACGCCUUCAUGCCUGCAUAUUCGUGUACUUUGGGUGUACUUGCCUGUGUGGUUAGUUAACAUCAAUUUUGGUUAUCAUAAAAUGGCUGGAGGAAUGUAGCUUCGAUUUCGAUUGAAGUGUUAUA
RNAcentral lists this ribosomal RNA (255 nucleotides) under uncultured Rhizophagus. Its description in RNAcentral is "partial large subunit ribosomal RNA". It matches the Rfam family "Eukaryotic large subunit ribosomal RNA", at positions 359 to 604 of the family's 3401-position model. The record is from RNAcentral. Lineage: Eukaryota; Fungi; Glomeromycota; Glomeromycetes; Glomerales; Glomeraceae.